GACGGAGGAUGCAAGCGUUAUCCGGAAUGAUUGGGCGUAAAGCGUCCGCAGGUGGCAGUUCAAGUCUGCUGUCAAAGACCGGGGCUUAACUUCGGAAAGGCAGUGGAAACUGAACAGCUAGAGUAUGGUAGGGGCAGAGGGAAUUCCUGGUGUAGCGGUGAAAUGCGUAGAGAUCAGGAAGAACAUCGGUGGCGAAGGCGACAUCCUGGACCAACACUGACGCUGAGUGAGCGAAAGCCAGGGGAGCAAACGGG
RNAcentral lists this ribosomal RNA (254 nucleotides) under uncultured bacterium. RNAcentral describes it as "partial 16S ribosomal RNA". It matches the Rfam family "Bacterial small subunit ribosomal RNA", at positions 524 to 776 of the family's 1533-position model. The record is from RNAcentral.